AUGGAGUCUCGCUCUUGUUGCCCAGGCUGGAGUGCAGUGGUGCCAUCUCGGCUCAUGCAGCCGCCCCAUCCCGGGUUCAAGAGACCCUGGUGCCUUGGCCUCCGCAGUAGCUGCGAUUGCAGGCGCCCGCCACCGCGCCCGCGAACCUUUGUGUCUUUAGUAGAGACGGGUUCACCGUGUGGGCCAGGCUGGUCUCAGCCCGUGAUGUCAGGUGAUCCACCCGCCUCCGCCUCCCCAAGGGCUGGAUUCAGGCGUGAGCCGCCGCCCGGCCUGCUCGGGAUCUUAGUCCCUCAGCGGAGCCGCUGCCCCAGGGCCUGUCCUGACGGGACAUCCUGCCGCUCUGCGACGUCCACCUUGUCCCGACGGGACAUCCCGCCGCUCUGCCACCUCCGCCUUGUCCCGACGGGACAUCCCGCCGCUCUGCCACCUCCGCCUUGUCCCGACGGGACAUCCCGCCACUCUGCGACGUCCACCUUGUCCCGACGGGACAUCCCGCCGCUCUGCCACCUCCGCCUUGUCCCGACGGGACAUCCCGCCACUCUGCGACGUCCACCUUGUCCCGACGGGACAUCCCGCCGCUCUGCCACCUCCGCCUUGUCCCGACGGGACAUCCCGCCGCUCUGCCACCUCCGCCUUGUCCCGACGGGACAUCCCGCCGCUCUGCGACGUCCACCUUGUCCCGACGGGACAUCCCGCCGCUCUGCCACCUCCGCCUUGUCCCGACGGGACAUCCCGCCUCUCUGCCACCUCCGCCUUGUCCCGACGGGACAUCCCGCCGCUCUGCCACCUCCGCCUUGUCCCGACGGGACAUCCCGCCGCUCUGCCACCUCCGCCUUGUCCCGACGGGACAUCCCGCCUCUCUGCCACCUCCGCCUUGUCCCGACGGGACAUCCCGCCGCUCUGCCACCUCCGCCUUGUCCCGACGGGACAUCCCGCCGCUCUGCCACCUCCGCCUUGUCCCGACGGGACAUCCCGCCGCUCUGCGACGUCCGCCUUGUCCCGACGGGACAUCCCGCCGCUCUGCCACCUCCGCCUUGUCCCGACGGGACAUCCCGCCUCUCUGCCACCUCCGCCUUGUCCCGACGGGACAUCCUGCCGCUCUGCCACCUCCGCCUUGUCCCGACGGGACAUCCCGCCGCUCUGCCACCUCCGCCUUGUCCCGACGGGACAUCCCGCCGCUCUGCGACCGUCCGCCUUGUCCCGACGGGACAUCCCGCCGCUCUGCCACCUCCGCCUUGUCCCGACGGGACAUCCCGCCUCUCUGCGACGUCCGCCUUGUCCCGACGGGACAUCCCGCCGCUCUGCCACCUCCGCCUUGUCCCGACGGGACAUCCCGCCGCUCUGCCACCUCCGCCUUGUCCCGACGGGACAUCCCGCCGCUCUGCGACGUCCGCCUUCCAAUCCCUCCUCUCACCGCGGACCUGCAAAGGCACGUGA
Molecule: long non-coding RNA, 1437 nt
Filed under: Callithrix jacchus (white-tufted-ear marmoset)
Lineage: Eukaryota; Metazoa; Chordata; Mammalia; Primates; Cebidae
Description: lncRNA (ENSCJAG00000080251.1)
Source: RNAcentral